CCUACGGGUGGCAGCAGUGGGGAAUAUUGGGCAAUGGAGGCAACUCUGACCCAGCAACGCCGCGUGAAUGAUGAAGGUCUUCGGAUUGUAAAGUUCUGUGAUGGGGGAUGAACACAAUGACGGUACCCCAAUAGCAAGCCACGGCUAACUACGUGCCAGCAGCCGCGGUAAUACGUAGGUGGCAAGCGUUAUCCGGAUUGACUGGGCGUAAAGGGUGCGUAGGUGGUUUAGUAAGUUGGCGGUGUAAUUCCGGGGCUCAACCUGGGCGCGACCGCGAAAACUAGUAGACUUGAGUGCAGGAGGGGAAAGUGGAAUUCCAAGUGUAGCGGUGAAAUGCGUAGAUAUAAGGAGGAACAUCAGUGGCGAAGGCGACUCACUGGACUGUAACUGACGCUGAGGCACGAAAGCGUGGGGAGCAAACAGGAUUAGAUACCCUUGUAGUC
This 443-nucleotide ribosomal RNA is filed under the name uncultured bacterium. RNAcentral describes it as "partial 16S ribosomal RNA". It matches the Rfam family "Bacterial small subunit ribosomal RNA", at positions 338 to 795 of the family's 1533-position model. The record is from RNAcentral.